UAUUGGGAACAAUGUUUAACAUG
This 23-nucleotide non-coding RNA is filed under the name Cricetulus griseus (Chinese hamster). The record is from RNAcentral. Lineage: Eukaryota; Metazoa; Chordata; Mammalia; Rodentia; Cricetidae.